This 460-nucleotide ribosomal RNA is filed under the name uncultured bacterium. RNAcentral describes it as "partial 16S ribosomal RNA". It matches the Rfam family "Bacterial small subunit ribosomal RNA", at positions 338 to 795 of the family's 1533-position model. The record is from RNAcentral.
CCUACGGGGGGCAGCAGUGAGGAAUAUUGGUCAAUGGCCGAGAGUCUGAACCAGCCAAGUCGCGUGAAGGAUGACUGCCCUAUGGGUUGUAAACUUCUUUUAUAAAGGAAUAAAACGAGGCACGUGUGCCUUUUUGCGUGUACUUUAUGAAUAAGGAUCGGCUAACUCCGUGCCAGCAGCCGCGGUAAUACGGAGGAUCCGAGCGUUAUCCGGAUUUAUUGGGUUUAAAGGGAGCGUAGGUGGGUUGUUAAGUCAGGUGUGAAAGUUUGCGGCUCAAACGUAAAAUUGCAAUUGAUACUGGGAGUCUUGAGUACAGUUGAGGUAGGCGGAAUUCGUGGGGUAGCGGUGAAAUGCUUAGAUAUCACGCAGAACCCCGAUUGCGAAGGCAGCCUACUAAACUGUGACUGACAUUGAUGCACGAAAGUGUGGGUAUCAAACAGGAUUAGAUACCCGGGUAGUC